GGAAGAAGCAUACUUGCAAUAUGUGAAGAAGUGUGGGGCUCGUUUGCUGUACAAGCAAGAUUUGGAAGAACUCAACCAACCACAAAAUCCUGGAACGAACAUGUGAAUAUCGUGACGAGGCAACUCUAAGUGGACCUAGAAGUGCUGGCUUUAAAGACACAAAACAAAUCUGCAAAAGGCAUUGUUAGUCACCAUCUUAUAAUAAAUGUAGUUCACUGUAAAACCAGUCCCCAUCAUAAGCUUGGGAAGAAUUGGAGGAGCCGGACUUAAAGUACGAGUACUAUCCUCGCGCCGUUCAGUUGGCCUCUAUGUUUCUUCCUUGUACAAGAAUGAACCACAAGUUUCUGAUCACCAAUGUGAUUUAUCUUGCCUGAUGUCAUUGCUAAUCUUGAGGUUCAUUUUCUGAAAACACCUUUAAUGUUAAUACCAGGGACUUGAAUUUCAAAUUUUUAUAGAAAGGAAGAAUUGACUUGUU
Malus domestica (apple) is the source of this 475-nucleotide non-coding RNA. Lineage: Eukaryota; Viridiplantae; Streptophyta; Magnoliopsida; Rosales; Rosaceae. The record is from RefSeq and is a predicted model, not a curated record.